UGGAGGACCGAACCGACUAAUGUUGAAAAAUUAGCGGAUGACCUGUGGCUGGGGGUGAAAGGCCAAUCAAACCGGGAGAUAGCUGGUUCUCCCCGAAAGCUAUUUAGGUAGCGCCUCGUGAAUUCAUCUCCGGGGGUAGAGCACUGUUUCGGCUAGGGGGCCAUCCCGGCUUACCAACCCGAUGCAAACUGCGAAUACCGGAGAAUGUUAUCACGGGAGACACACGGCGGGUGCUAACGUCCGUCGUGAAGAGGGAAACAACCCAGACCGCCAGCUAAGGUCCCAAAGUCAUGGUUAAGUGGGAAACGAUGUGGGAAGGCCCAGACAGCCAGGAUGUUGGCUUAGAAGCAGCCAUCAUUUAAAGAAAGCGUAAUAGCUCACUGGUCGAGUCGGCCUGCGCGGAAGAUGUAACGGGGCUAAACCAUGCACCGAAGCUGCGGCAGCGACA
Molecule: ribosomal RNA, 448 nt
Filed under: Salmonella enterica subsp. enterica serovar Enteritidis
Lineage: Bacteria; Pseudomonadati; Pseudomonadota; Gammaproteobacteria; Enterobacterales; Enterobacteriaceae
Description: partial 23S ribosomal RNA
Rfam family: Bacterial large subunit ribosomal RNA
Source: RNAcentral